UACAUUAUGGUGUAUGGCACGUAAAUUUUUGGGGUUUAAGGUAAAGGUUCAUUUCUUUUUUUGUAA
This 66-nucleotide transfer RNA is filed under the name Helicocranchia sp. n SB-2022. Its description in RNAcentral is "tRNA-Gln". The record is from RNAcentral. Lineage: Eukaryota; Metazoa; Mollusca; Cephalopoda; Oegopsida; Cranchiidae.